This is a non-coding RNA of Phascolarctos cinereus (koala), 514 nucleotides long. NCBI's taxonomy places the organism in Eukaryota, Metazoa, Chordata, Mammalia, Diprotodontia, Phascolarctidae. The record is from RefSeq and is a predicted model, not a curated record.
CUCUGUUCAAGGAACUUUGGAAGGCGUGGAAGUGCUGGCCUCGGCUCCUGUCUGGAAGGCGGCUCAGAGGCCGAGAGCAGGGAAGGGGCGGGGUAGGGACCCAGGAAAGGACGCUCUUUUUCCAAGAGGAGUGGGAGUAGGUGGUCGAUAAACGGCCCUGCGUCUUCUCUGCAGCGAGAAGACACUCGGCUAAAAGACCCAGGAUAGACAACCUCCAGGAGGCCCUUUUUAAAGGCAAGUGGUGACUACUGGUUUCACCUGGCUCCUGGCCUGAGUCCUGUGCUCACAGCUUCCAGGAGAGCAGGCAUCUCCAUGUAGAGUCCAGGUGAUAUGGGAAUUCUGACCUGCAGAGGCGAAGAGCUUUGAAAAUGCAUACAUUGCUGUAGAAAUGUUAUUUCAAAGUCUUUUUUUAUUCAACUGUUAUUCAGCAAUAUACAAUACAGUUUAUAAACAAAUGUCUUACCUUGUUUCCAAUCUUUAUUUAAAAAUAAAUAUUAUUGACAGUGAAUAUUAA